Molecule: long non-coding RNA, 517 nt
Filed under: Pan troglodytes (chimpanzee)
Lineage: Eukaryota; Metazoa; Chordata; Mammalia; Primates; Hominidae
Description: long non-coding RNA NONPTRT009445
Source: RNAcentral
GUAUAUUUCAGAGACUACAACACAUUUAUUUUCCAUGAGGAUUUAUCAGUUGUAUUCCAAUCAUGUUGGCGGAUGAACUCAAUAUCCCUGAAGGAUUUCUGCUUACACAUGGAGGACCAGUUGUUUCUCAAAUAUUCUGCAAGGCAAGGUACUUCUAUAGAAGGGUGAGCCCUCACAGAUGGAGCAAUGGUGCACGCACACCUGAACAAGGGAGGGGAAGGAGUUCUUAUCCCUGAUGCAUGUGGCCCCUGCUGCUGUGUCCUUCCCCUAUUGGCUAAGGUUAGACCACACAGGCUAAACUAAUUCCGAUUGGCUAAUUUAAAGAGAGCGACGGAGUGAGUGCUUUGGCGGGAAAAAAAUGGUUAUACAGGGUGGAGAAUAAUGAGACAGGGUGGAGCAGGUAGCAGGUAACCGGAAUGAGUUAUGGUGGAGCAGGUGAUCAGGUGAUCGGAAUGAGUCAGGGUGGAGUAGGUAAUCGAAAAAGGUUGCUUUACGAGGAAGUUAAGUUUAAAAGUAG